Molecule: ribosomal RNA, 586 nt
Filed under: Stagonospora sp.
Lineage: Eukaryota; Fungi; Ascomycota; Dothideomycetes; Pleosporales; Massarinaceae
Also listed under: 1 other name
Description: partial large subunit ribosomal RNA
Rfam family: Eukaryotic large subunit ribosomal RNA
Source: RNAcentral
CGGCGAGUGAAGCGGCAAUAGCUCAAAUUUGAAAUCUGGCUCCUUUUAGGGGUCCGAGUUGUAAUUUGCAGAGGGUGCUUUGGCGUUGGUAGCGGUCUAAGUUCCUUGGAACAGGACAUCGCAGAGGGUGAGAAUCCCGUUUGUGGUCGCAUGCCUUCGCCGUGUAAAGCCCCUUCGACGAGUCGAGUUGUUUGGGAAUGCAGCUCUAAAUGGGAGGUAAAUUUCUUCUAAAGCUAAAUACUGGCCAGAGACCGAUAGCGCACAAGUAGAGUGAUCGAAAGAUGAAAAGCACUUUGGAAAGAGAGUCAAACAGCACGUGAAAUUGUUGAAAGGGAAGCGCUUGCAGUCAGACUUGCCCGUAGUUGCUCACCUAGGCUUUUGCCUGGGGCAUUCUUCUGCGGGCAGGCCAGCAUCAGUUUGGGCGGUCGGAUAAAGGUCUCUGUCAUGUAGCUUCCUUCGGGAAGAACUUAUAGGGGAGGCGAAAUGCGACCAGCCCGGACUGAGGUCCGCGCUUCUGCUAGGAUGCUGGCGUAAUGGCUGUAAGCGGCCCGUCUUGAAACACGGACCAAGGAGUCUAACAUCUAUG